GUUCAAGCAAUUUUUCUGCCUCAGCCUACAGAGUAGCUGGGACUACAGUUGGCUAUCCAGCAAUAUUUAUGGAUCAUUCCCAGGGAUGAAAGCACCUGUCAUCAAUCCUAUGCACUAACAUGGACGGGUCUCCACUGGACUCUGAGCUGCGCCCCAGCCAUGACCUUCCUCUCUGUAAGGUGACACUGCGGAGGGUGCCUCAGAGCAGCAUCACUGCUUUGGACACAGCUUGUGCGCCCCAGGAUGGGGUCUACCCAACCUCUCUCUUGGAUCUUGAUUUCCUUCCAGAUUGAGAGCACAGUGGCCACAGCAGUCCCAGCAUUUCUUAAAUCCCGGACUGUCUUGCUUUUUUCAAGGCGAGAUCUGGGGCCCUGCUUAGUCCUUAUUCCCAUUUCCCAGGGCUUUACCGCAGGUCCCUUGAGUUUGGUGCCAUGAGGAUUCCAGGGCCGAUUUCCAACCUGGCAGCAUCUGAAGGGGCUCUGGACCCUUCUGUCAUAUGACCUGAGGCGGAUUUCAGGCAACAGUGGAGUCUGAGAGGGUUGACUCUCUCUAAGACAAGGCAGAACUGGGCACACCCACGGUUAAUCCAAGACAGUGUGGCCCUGUACCUCCUGGGCCCUCCCAAUUACAGCUAAAACAUUGCAGCAUCUCAGAAGCAUGGGGAGUCCCUGAAAGGAAGAAAGAAGGAGGUGGGCACCCUGGAGGCCUCUGCUCAGCACCUUCCAUGAUCAAUCUCUCAGCAUCAGUAUAGUGUGAUGUCCCCAGCACACAUGUGGCAUAGAAGGAAGAUGGUGGGUGCCUCCGCUCAGCACCCUCCAUGAUCAAGCUGUGAGCAUCAGUAUAGUGUGAUGUCCCCAGCACACAUGUGGCACAGAAGGAAGAUGGUGGGUGCCCUGGAGGCUUCUGCUCAGCACCUUCCAUGAUCAAGCUCUCAGCAUCAGUAUAGUGUGAUGUCCCAGCACACAUGUGGCACAGAAGGACACAUGGCAGCCCCACAGCCAGAUCACACUCAAUAGUGAAGGGCUGAGAGCUUUCCCUCUAACAUCGAGAGCAAGGGUAGGCUGCCCUCCACCAAACACACACUUCUAUUCAGCAUCAAAGUGGAAGAGCUGGCCAGAGCAAUCAGGCAAGAAAAGGAAAUAAAAGGCAUCCAAAGACAAAAAGAAGUAGUUAAAUUGUCUGUUUUCUGAUGACAUGAUCUAAUGUAUAGAAAACCCGAAAGACUCCACCAAAAAACUAUUAGAACCGACAAAUAUCUUAUAACAUUUGUUUCUCUUUAGUAAUAGUAUUUAAAUUUCAUAAUUUUCAUAUUAAACUUUUAAUAACAUUUCUGUAUAUUCUAUUGGACUUUUAAUACAGAAUUAUAUGCACUGGAUAAUGAGGGUGUUAUUCCUUUUUGCAAAAGCUGAUAGAUUUCAUUAUUUUUUUCUUCCUUUAUUAAAUGGGUUAGCACUUCAGCAAUGUACAGAAUAAAUGUGAGCAGAGAAGGCAUCCUCAUCUUGAUUGAGUGAGAAAGAUUUCAACAUUUCUCCAACAAAUAUCAUGAUUCCAUUAUUUUGUAUAUACCCUUUCCUUAAGAUGAAGGGUAUUUAAUUAGAUUUUUAGAAUGCUAUUUUAAAAUUAAUUAUGAAUGACUUUUUAACUAUAUCAAUUUCAUUGUUUAAGGAUAUUUGAAUUUAUAUUCAUGAAUGAGUUUGGUCUGUAUUUUAUUAUUAUCACUUCUCUGUCAAGAUCUGGCAUCAGUUUUUUUUUCUGGCAUGUUAAAUUGGUUAGAGUGUAUUUAAUAAUUCUCUGUUGUCUGAAAAAUUUUGUAAAAAAUUGGUAUUAUUCCUUCAUUAAAUAUUUGGUAAAAUUCACUAAUAUAGUUUCUAUGGUCUGCAGUUUUCAUAAUAGUUUCAUUUUAUUUACAAAUU
RNAcentral lists this long non-coding RNA (1913 nucleotides) under Homo sapiens (human). Its description in RNAcentral is "HSALNT0157393". Lineage: Eukaryota; Metazoa; Chordata; Mammalia; Primates; Hominidae. The record is from RNAcentral.